This 109-nucleotide ribosomal RNA is filed under the name Castor canadensis (American beaver). Lineage: Eukaryota; Metazoa; Chordata; Mammalia; Rodentia; Castoridae. The record is from RNAcentral.
AUCUAUGGCCAUACAACCCUGAACGAGCCCAAUCUCAUCUGGUCUCAGUAGCUAAGCAGGGUUGGGCCUGGUUAGUACUUGGAUGGGAGAGAUCAGGAGGAUCACGAUU